Molecule: non-coding RNA, 108 nt
Organism: Acanthosepion pharaonis
Lineage: Eukaryota; Metazoa; Mollusca; Cephalopoda; Sepiida; Sepiidae
Source: the annotation of a GenBank genome assembly
CCAUAUCACGUUGAAACACCGGUUCUCGUCCGAUUACAGAAGUUAAGCAAUAUCAAGCCUGGUCAGUACCUAGAUAGGUGACUGUUUCGGAAUACCAGGUGUUGUAAG